Molecule: long non-coding RNA, 329 nt
Filed under: Rattus norvegicus (Norway rat)
Lineage: Eukaryota; Metazoa; Chordata; Mammalia; Rodentia; Muridae
Description: long non-coding RNA NONRATT022496
Source: RNAcentral
GGGGGUACUACAGCUGCUGUGCCCUACACUGAAGAAGCCUAUAUGAAACUGGGACGGAACGUAGCAAGAACAUUUCUAGAUUAUUACAGGCUGAACUCCCUUGUUGAGAAGAUGACAAUCCCAAUGCCAAGACUUCGAAAAGGAGACCCAGAAAGGAACAGAAGAUUUCCUGAUGUCGCGAUGUCGAUAGCACAGAGAGUGUUUCAUUUUCCAAAGCCACCUGAACUCUACUGCGAUAGAGCUCCAUCAGUGGACUGUCUCCGUCUCUCAGGAAUAUGAUGGGGUUUUAGGCCUUUUUAUACCUGCCUAUUAAACAGAAAUAAUAGCAA